Molecule: ribosomal RNA, 502 nt
Filed under: uncultured bacterium
Lineage: Bacteria
Description: bacterial SSU rRNA
Rfam family: Bacterial small subunit ribosomal RNA
Source: RNAcentral
UCGAACGCGAAAGGCCCCUUCGGGGGCCGAGUAGAGUGGCGUCCGGGUGAGUAACACGUAGGUAAUCUACCUCUGGGUGGGGAAUAACAGCCGGAAACGGCUGCUAAUACCGCAUAAUGCAGCGGCACCACAUGGUGACAGUUGUUAAAGCGGGGGAUCGUAAGACCUCGCGUCUAAAGAGGAGCCUGCGGCGGAUUAGCUAGUUGGUAAGGUAAUGGCUUACCAAGGCGACGAUCCGUAACCGGCCUGAGAGGGCGGUCGGUCACACUGACACUGACAUACGGGUCAGACUCCUACGGGAGGCAGCAGUCGGGAAUUUUGGGCAAUGGGCGAAAGCCUGACCCAGCAACGCCGCGUGAAGGAUGAAAUCCCUCGGGAUGUAAACUUCGCAAGAACGGGAAGAAUAAGCCGGUGCAAAUAUCACCGGCGAUGACGGUACCGUUUGUAAGCUCCGGCUAACUCCGUGCCAGCAGCCGCGGUAAUACGGGGGGAGCAAGCGUUG